CCUACACAUGCAGUCGAACGGCAGCACAGAAGAGCUUGCUCUUUGGGUGGCGAGUGGCGGACGGGUGAGUAAUGUCUGGGAAACUGCCCGAUGGAGGGGGAUAACUACUGGAAACGGUAGCUAAUACCGCAUAACGUCGCAAGACCAAAGUGGGGGACCUUCGGGCCUCACACCAUCGGAUGUGCCCAGAUGGGAUUAGCUAGUAGGUGGGGUAAUGGCUCACCUAGGCGACGAUCCCUAGCUGGUCUGAGAGGAUGACCAGCCACACUGGAACUGAGACACGGUCCAGACUCCUACGGGAGGCAGCAGUGGGGAAUAUUGCACAAUGGGCGCAAGCCUGAUGCAGCCAUGCCGCGUGUAUGAAGAAGGCCUUCGGGUUGUAAAGUACUUUCAGCGGGGAGGAAGGCGGUGAGGUUAAUAACCUUGCCGAUUGACGUUACCCGCAGAAGAAGCACCGGCUAACUCCGUGCCAGCAGCCGCGGUAAUACGGAGGGUGCAAGCGUUAAUCGGAAUUACUGGGCGUAAAGCGCACGCAGGCGGUCUGUUAAGUCAGAUGUGAAAUCCCCGGGCUUAACCUGGGAACUGCAUUUGAAACUGGCAGGCUUGAGUCUCGUAGAGGGGGGUAGAAUUCCAGGUGUAGCGGUGAAAUGCGUAGAGAUCUGGAGGAAUACCGGUGGCGAAGGCGGCCCCCUGGACGAAGACUGACGCUCAGGUGCGAAAGCGUGGGGAGCAAACAGGAUUAGAUACCCUGGUAGUCCACGCCGUAAACGAUGUCGACUUGGAGGUUGUGCCCUUGAGGCGUGGCUUCCGGAGCUAACGCGUUAAGUCGACCGCCUGGGGAGUACGGCCGCAAGGUUAAAACUCAAAUGAAUUGACGGGGGCCCGCACAAGCGGUGGAGCAUGUGGUUUAAUUCGAUGCAACGCGAAGAACCUUACCUGGCCUUGACAUCCAGAGAACUUAGCAGAGAUGCUUUGGUGCCUUCGGGAACUCUGAAACAGGUGCUGCAUGGCUGUCCUCAGCUCCUGUUGUGAAAUGUUGGGGUUAAGUCCCGCAACGAGCGCAACCCUUAUCCUUUGUUGCCGGC
This 1085-nucleotide ribosomal RNA is filed under the name Erwinia sp. RNAcentral's name for it is "bacterial SSU rRNA". It matches the Rfam family "Bacterial small subunit ribosomal RNA", at positions 48 to 1122 of the family's 1533-position model. Lineage: Bacteria; Pseudomonadati; Pseudomonadota; Gammaproteobacteria; Enterobacterales; Erwiniaceae. The record is from RNAcentral.